Molecule: long non-coding RNA, 1734 nt
Organism: Solanum dulcamara
Lineage: Eukaryota; Viridiplantae; Streptophyta; Magnoliopsida; Solanales; Solanaceae
Exons: 3
Source: RefSeq, a predicted model, not a curated record
UUAAGCCCAUCCAAACAUGGUCGUAAGCCAUUACUUCCUCGGUGCUCCAAGCAACGGUACUACGACUGAGCAACGCCUCUUUCAGUGCCGGAUUUGAGGAAUCGAGUUGAAGCCACCUCAAUCACGCCAAGCUCCAGUGAAACAAUCAGCUAAGCACCCUUCAUCAUAGAUCUGCCAUGGAAAUAGCUCAAAGAGCUUGGAUAGAUUUCAUCCAAGACACCUAUAAGUCUCACAGGCGCCAUGAAAUCGAUUCCAAAGAAGACUUCUUCGGAUCUUUGUUUAAUUUCCAUUCAUUUCUAUUAUAAGAUUGAGCUUCAAAUAAGCUAAUACCACUGUUAGAAGAAGAACGGUAACCAACUCCUCUUUUUCCAAAGAUUCACAACGCCAAUCCUCAACUGGCUUGUAACUUGUUCUUCACUUUCUUGAUGAGAUCAGAGAAAUGAGACUUCCUCUUCCAUGUAUGACCAAUAAGACAUUCUAGGUAAGUGAAAGGAAAUUUUCCUUUGUUGAAACCUGUGACUUCCUCAAUCCCUAAUUAAUUUGUCUGGCAGUUUUAUGAAAAACACAGAAGCUUUUCUCCUUAUUGAGUUUUUGUCCAGAUUGUGUUUCAUAUUCCCCCAAAGUCUGCAUAAUCAUUUGUAGAGUUGCCUUAUCUGAAGAGGAAAAGAUGAUUGUAUCAUUAGCAUAGGCUAGAUGAUUCAGAUCAGAACUCCAUUUAGGCAUACCAUAACCUUUAAAAUUCUCAAUAAGGAAUGAAGCAUUCAGGGCUUUAGAUAAAACUUCUGCAGUAAGAAUGAACAAAGCUGGAGAUAGAGGUCCCUUGUUGAGAUUUUAAGCAAAUAAAGGAACACACAUAUAACACCAUUAUUCAUCCGUUCUAAUUUAUAUGAGGUAACUUGAUGGGUAGAAAGUUCAAGAAAUAUGACAAAAUUUUGCAAAUUUUCAAACUUUUAUUAAAAAUAAAAAAGAAUACAAAUUAUGAUUUUUUUGACAAAUAAUUGAGAUCUGAGUGAACGUUUGCAUAAAAGUGUAGAUCAUUGAUGAGGUAACUCUUCGAGCAGGACGCGAUAAAGUCCUUUUGGAGAUGAUGAUGUGCUCUGAGGAUCAUCGAAAAUUUUUAGCUGGAUGUAAAACAUUAUGGUUCUAAAUAAUGUGGUUGUAGAUGAUCCAUAACCAUCCGAACUAAUUCAACAACAACCCAAUCCAUAUGAAAAUAAAGAACCUAAACUAGAACCAAAAUCAGUACCAAAUGAACCAAAUAACUUUUCUAUUCCGUAUUUGCCUAUUUUCUUCGUAUUUAGUAUCACACUAAUAAGAUAUAGUACCACAAUUUCAUCACUUUUGCGAAAAGCGUGAUCCACACAUUUAACCUUUCUCUGGAUAGUCUCAUAAUUAAUAUAUGUGAAAGAUUUAUGAUAAUAAUCGUAUGUGAGUAGGAGAUGAUUUCAAAUAAAAGUUUAUGUGAGAUUAUAUCCUUAUAAGUUGAUUUAAUUUUUUAAAAAAAUUUGUUCGUUCUUCUGUCUUAAUUCUUUAGACAAAUAUAUUGAGAGCUGGAGGCAAUUCAUAAGUCAUCAUAUCGCCAUGAAAAUUUGUUUGAUAGGAUUUAUAUAGGAACAAAUCACAAUAUUCGAUUGAACAAUUUUCUGAUCUUUGAUGAUAUGUGUUGAAUUCAAAAAUAUAUUAAUAACUUUUAUUUUGAUAAGUUAUUUCAAAAUAUCAACCAUUUGAAAUGUU